RNAcentral lists this transfer RNA (69 nucleotides) under Leucocarbo chalconotus (Otago shag). RNAcentral describes it as "tRNA-Asp". Lineage: Eukaryota; Metazoa; Chordata; Aves; Suliformes; Phalacrocoracidae. The record is from RNAcentral.
GAGGUGUUAGUAAACUAAUUACAUAGUCUUGUCAAGACUAAAUAACGGGCGAAACCCCCGUAUACCUCU